This 2178-nucleotide ribosomal RNA is filed under the name Triticum aestivum (bread wheat). Its description in RNAcentral is "partial small subunit ribosomal RNA". Lineage: Eukaryota; Viridiplantae; Streptophyta; Magnoliopsida; Poales; Poaceae. The record is from RNAcentral.
AUGGCUUCGAGCUCAGAUCAUCCCCGGGAUCCCACUUCCGUCGCAGUUGAGGGCGUCGUAGCUUCCCGGCCCACGGUGGUGAUUCAACCCGAGCUGCUCAGAGCCGCGCGCCGUGGCGACUAUGAGGGGCUCAAGGUUCUGCUGCACCGAGAAAAUGGAGCUGUGGCGGCGACGAGAGAACAGAUCGUCGUCGAGGUUCGUGACAGUGUACCGUCCACCAGGGUGGUGGCGGUGGCAGAUCAGCCUCUGCCUGUUCCCUCCUCGUCUUCGACCCUCCUAGCCGGAGUGACGUUCCAGGGGGAUUCCGCUCUCCAUGUGGUGGCCGCGACCGGGGAUGGCCCAGGUUUCGUAAAGUGCGCGGGCUUGAUCUACCAGGAGGACAAGCACCUCCUGCACGGCCUCAACAAGAAUGGCGACACGCCGCUGCAUUGUGCUGCCAGGGCAGGGCACAGAGAGGUCCUCUCUAGCCUCAUUGCUCUGGCAGAACAGGAGGGCGGAGACGAGAGGGCCAAGGACGUCCUGACGAGACUCAACGGACGCCGGGAGACGGUCUUGCAUGACGCCGUCAGGCUUGCCGACGAGAAGCUCGUUUGCGAGUUGAUGUCAGCAUGCCCGUCCCUGGCCCGGUUCCCCGGGGACGGCACGUCGGCGUUGUACCUGGCCAUCUCGUUGGGACACGACCGCAUUGUGGACCUGCUGCACUCCGAGGACCCGGAGCUGUCAUAUUCAGGACCUGCGGGGCAAAAUGCCUUGCAUGCGGCUUCCCUACAUGGCAGAGAAAUGACAAAGAAGAUACUGGAAUGGAGCAACAAGGAGGGGAACAAUGCGAUCAUCGGACAUGCAGACGAAUCUGAGAGUACAGCGCUCCACUUUGCUGCCUCAGCGGAAGGCAGGGAGUUAGAAGAAGCGAGCAGUUUCUUCACUCGAUUCCUCUUUCGGCGGCCCAUGCACAAUUCUACAUCGAUACGUCUGCUACUGGAUGCUGACCAGUGUUCAGCAUGCCGGCCAGACAAAAGGGGGCAGUACCCUAUACACAUUGCCGCGUCGAUGGGCAAACUUGGGGUUGUGGCUCUCAUUCUUGACAAGUGCCCAGAGUGCGCCGGUCUGCGUGACGCCCGCGGGCGAACGUUUCUCCAUGUCGCCAUCGACAUGAGGUGGGAAAAAAUAGUGGACUACGCCACCAAGAACGAUACGUUCGCCUCCAUCCUGAAUAUGCAGGACAACAGUGGUGACACGGCGCUGCACUUAGCUGUCCAGGUUGGGGUGCUAAGGAUAUUCCGUAAUCUGUUACGGAAUAGGCAUGUAUCCUUGAAUCUGGCAAACCACAAGGGCCAAACACCAGCUGACCUCUCAAGGAGCACUAUUCCAGCUGGGCUUUACUACAAGACGAAUGCUCGGAUGUGGAUACUUUGGUCCCUGGUAAAAGCAAAUGCUCUCAACGGCAAUGACAGGCGCGAUCACUUCCAGGAAAAGCACAUUCUUAAGCUAGACGAGAGCAAAGAGUCGAAGAAAAUGACGGAGGCGGCCCAGAUGACUGGUAUUGGCUCUGUACUAGUUGCAACCAUGGCAUUUGCUGCAGCUUUCACCAUUCCUGGAGGUUAUAUAGCCAGUGAGCAAAAAAAUGGUGGCACGCCGACACUCGCUGGUUCUUAUGCUUUUGACGCAUUCAUGUAUGCUGUCGCGGUAGCAUUCAUCUGCUCCAUGCUUGCCACGUUCAGUCUCAUGUACUCAGGUAUGGCCACGGUUGACUGGAAGAUCAGAAACAAUUACUUCAAUGACUCCUUAGGCUGGAUGUGGAAUUCCACCAGAAGCUUGCUGGCCGCCUUCGCGCUGGGGGUAUACCUCGUCCUGGCGCCCGUAGCUAGUACCACUGCCGUUGGUGUUUGUAUUCUCACUUCGGGUACGCUACUCUUCAGAAAUAGGGAAGUCGGACGAAUCCUUAUUUGCACAUAUACGUUGCACAAGAGACUCGGAAUCUUCAUAUGGGUGAGACUUGCUACCAGGAUCCUCCCAAUUAUACUUCAAUCAUACUUUGUCUACAUUGUUAUCUUCGUUUCCCCGGAUCAUUGUAGUAGGGUUCUUACUUAUAUGUUUAUUUAUCCCAUCUAUCUAAAACGUAUUCUGUUCAAUCCUAAGAACACCAUCAUGCCCAGUGCCUUAUUUGUAGUGGUGGAUUAA